UGAGUCCAGGAUCUGCCACUAACUUG
Molecule: non-coding RNA, 26 nt
Filed under: Homo sapiens (human)
Lineage: Eukaryota; Metazoa; Chordata; Mammalia; Primates; Hominidae
Source: RNAcentral